RNAcentral lists this long non-coding RNA (821 nucleotides) under Capra hircus (goat). RNAcentral describes it as "lncRNA (ENSCHIG00000005721.1)". Lineage: Eukaryota; Metazoa; Chordata; Mammalia; Artiodactyla; Bovidae. The record is from RNAcentral.
CACACACUUUGUUCAGCCAAGAUGGAUGCCAGCGAGAAGGAUUCUGGGAGGUGGUGGGACAGGUGGUGUCUCCUUUUGAGCUUGCCUGAAUUCUUCCGUUUGGUGGUGGCUUAUUAGUUCUGUGUUCCUUACCAGGACCUCGUGUCAUAAAACAACUGAUGUAAAUGGUUACUAUGGUGCCUGGCUAGGGUGGGCUGUUUCAUUCAGUGUGCUGCCCCUAAUAGUACCACAAAUUUUGGCAGCUUAAAAUAACCACAUAAUAUAAAGAAAGGCAUUAUUAGCUCUCAAUAAUAUGUGGGAACACAUUGAUAUAAAAUAUUCUGCUAACUGAGCUCACAUCUACAAACCUAAGGGGCUGUACCGCUGUUGGGACUGGAGUUCUCGGUCGUGCCCGGAAUCCCUCCUCAGUGAGAGCUUCUUUCAUCUUUCCUCGCAUCUGCAGUUCUCACCUCCCACCUUUGCAGGCACUGUGUAAUUAUCAUGUCCGUGGACCACUUUUCACUUCUCCAUCAGCUUUGACAAGAAGAUGGACCCUCUCGCUACAGACUACAUGUCAUUGUUCAUGAAGCACUUGCCCAAUAGGAACUUAAAUAUUAAUUGUGAAAAAGCUGCAUGGGAUCAUUCUCAUCAUAUAUUUCAAGUCUGCAGAAAAACAGUUCCUCUCUACAAAUAUUUCCAAUUUCAUUCAUCCUUUCAGUCAUUCGUUAUACCCUCAAACCUGUAUUGUUUUUACCUGAUUUGAAGAUCUUUCAUGGAUGCAUGAGGCAGGAGAUGAAGAGAGGAGAAAAGAGAGAAAGAGAGAGCCACUUCAUAACCUUGGG